CCCUGUGGCUCAGUUGGUAGAGCAUGGUGUUUGCAACGCCAGCAUGGUGUGUACAAUGCCAGGGUUGUGGGUUCGAUUCCCACAGGGG
RNAcentral lists this transfer RNA (88 nucleotides) under Salmo salar (Atlantic salmon). It matches the Rfam family "tRNA". Rfam says of the family: Transfer RNA (tRNA) molecules are approximately 80 nucleotides in length. Their secondary structure includes four short double-helical elements and three loops (D, anti-codon, and T loops). The record is from Rfam by way of RNAcentral. Lineage: Eukaryota; Metazoa; Chordata; Actinopteri; Salmoniformes; Salmonidae.